This 301-nucleotide ribosomal RNA is filed under the name uncultured bacterium. Its description in RNAcentral is "partial 16S ribosomal RNA". It matches the Rfam family "Bacterial small subunit ribosomal RNA", at positions 509 to 807 of the family's 1533-position model. The record is from RNAcentral.
CAGCCGCCGCGGUAAUACGGAGGGUGCAAGCGUUAAUCGGAAUUACUGGGCGUAAAGGGUGCGUAGGCGGUUUGGCAAGUCUCAUGUGAAAUCAUCGGGCUCAACUCGAUGGCUGCAUGGGAAACUGCCGGGCUUGAGUAUGGGAGAGGUGAGUGGAAUCUCCGGUGUAGCGGUGAAAUGCGUAGAUAUCGGAAGGAACACCUGUGGCGAAAGCGGCUCACUGGACCAUUACUGACGCUGAGGCACGAAAGCUAGGGGAGCAAACAGGAUUAGAUACCCCGGUAGUCCCUGUCUCUUAUAC